GUGGACCUACGGGAGGCAGCAGUGAGGAAUAUUGGUCAAUGGGCGAGAGCCUGAACCAGCCAAGUCGCGUGAGGGAAGACGGUCCUAUGGAUUGUAAACCUCUUUUGCCGGGGAGCAAAAAGCGGUACGUGUACCGCAUCGAGAGUACCCGGAGAAAAAGCAUCGGCUAACUCCGUGCCAGCAGCCGCGGUAAUACGGAGGAUGCGAGCGUUAUCCGGAAUGAUUGGGCGUAAAGGGUGCGCAGGCGGUCCUGCAAGUCUGGAGUGAAACGCAUGAGCUCAACUCAUGCAUGGCUUUGGAAACUG
RNAcentral lists this ribosomal RNA (305 nucleotides) under uncultured bacterium. RNAcentral's name for it is "bacterial SSU rRNA". It matches the Rfam family "Bacterial small subunit ribosomal RNA", at positions 331 to 635 of the family's 1533-position model. The record is from RNAcentral.